This 327-nucleotide ribosomal RNA is filed under the name uncultured eukaryote. Its description in RNAcentral is "partial 18S ribosomal RNA". It matches the Rfam family "Eukaryotic small subunit ribosomal RNA", at positions 1470 to 1796 of the family's 1831-position model. The record is from RNAcentral.
CCCUUAGAUGUUCUGGGCCGCACGCGCGCUACACUGACGAAUGCAACGAGCUUAUAACCUUGGCCGAAAGGUCUGGGUAAUCUCCAAAUUUCGUCGUGAUGGGGAUAGAUUAUUGCAAUUAUUAAUCUUCAACGAGGAAUGCCUAGUAAGCGCAAGUCAUCAGCUUGCGUUGAUUACGUCCCUGCCCUUUGUACACACCGCCCGUCGCUCCUACCGAUUGAAUGGUCCGGUGAAGCGUUCGGACCGUGGCCUUUGGACGGUUCGCCGUCUGUUGGCUGCGGGAAGUUCGUUAAACCUUNUNAUUUAGNGGAAGGUGAANUCGUANCA